UAAUACGUAGGGGGCAAGCGUUGUUCGGAUUUACUGGGCGUAAAGGGCGCGUAGGCGGCGUGGUAAGUCACUUGUGAAAUCUCCGGGCUCAACUCGGAACGGUCAAGUGAUACUGCUGUGCUAGAGUGCGGAAGGGGCUAUUGGAAUUCUCGGUGUAGCGGUGAAAUGCGUAGAUAUCGAGAGGAACACCUGAGGCGAAGGCGGGUAGCUGGGCCGACACUGACGCUGAGGCGCGAAAGCUAGGGGAGCGAACGGGAUUAGAUACCCCGGUAGUCCUAGCCUUAAACGAUGGAUGCUUGGUGUCUGGGGUUUUAUAUUCCCCGGGUGCCGUCGCUAACGCAUUAAGCAUCCCGCCUGGGGAGUACGGUCGCAAGACUG
Molecule: ribosomal RNA, 378 nt
Filed under: uncultured bacterium
Lineage: Bacteria
Description: bacterial SSU rRNA
Rfam family: Bacterial small subunit ribosomal RNA
Source: RNAcentral